GCUGUUUUGGCAGAUUUAGUGCAUUAAAUUUAGAAUUUAAUUAGAUGAUUAAAUGAUCAUAUACAGUA
Molecule: transfer RNA, 68 nt
Filed under: Tettigades chilensis
Lineage: Eukaryota; Metazoa; Arthropoda; Insecta; Hemiptera; Cicadidae
Description: tRNA-Leu
Source: RNAcentral